AAAUUUUAAAUGUUUAAUAUGUAUUUGGAUUAUCAAAGUUGGGAUAACAAUGUAGAUAUGAGUUGGGUCAAUGUGAGAUGACUUGUAAGUUGUGGGAGUUGACGUAAUACAAUAGGAGUGAAAGGGUGUAAGUGUUAUUUGUGCUAUAUAAGUCAAAAAAAAUGGGGCAGGAAACCAUUUUUUUUUCACUUUCCCUUUUCUUUUUUUUUUCUCUUCUUUGGCGUCUCUCUCUCUCUCUCGGCUCUCACCUCUCUCACCUUCUCUCUUCGAUUUCAUCGACCACGAGUGAGACUUUUGAAAAAUCCCAAGUACUAAAGUUGUUCUACGCGACGAGAGCUUCCUAUCCAUCGAAGAAAAUUCACGAUCGGAGCACUUCGAAGUUUCCUCCAUAUUCGGGCUUGCUUCUAACCCUCGAGGUACUUGUCAUGACACUUAGCUUGGAUUGCAUGGAGUGCACAUUGAGACGUCUCUUGAGCGCUUCAUUGGAACCUUUAAGGAGUGGUUUAUCAUCAAGUUUGAUUCAUGUCAUGUACUUUACUUGCAAUUGAAGGUUGUAUCUUUUGAUUAGAUCAUAUGUAAAGCUAUGUACAAACUCCUCUCCUUGAUGAUUAUGAAACCCAUUUAAGUGUAAACGUUUGGGAGACUUUAUGUAAAAAAAAAAAAAAAAAAAUUUAGAGAGAA
Rhododendron vialii is the source of this 681-nucleotide long non-coding RNA. RefSeq lists it as uncharacterized. The transcript is spliced from 2 exons. NCBI's taxonomy places the organism in Eukaryota, Viridiplantae, Streptophyta, Magnoliopsida, Ericales, Ericaceae. The record is from RefSeq and is a predicted model, not a curated record.